Ctenopharyngodon idella (grass carp) is the source of this 1309-nucleotide long non-coding RNA. RefSeq lists it as uncharacterized. The transcript is spliced from 3 exons. The record is from RefSeq and is a predicted model, not a curated record. Lineage: Eukaryota; Metazoa; Chordata; Actinopteri; Cypriniformes; Xenocyprididae.
GGUCCUGAAAAAGAAGAAGAAACAGAAUUAGAACACAUAAAUUAGCAGUUAAGAGAAAUAACAGAGUUGGAGAGGAAAAAAAUGUGAAUUGAACGUUGUCAGUCGAUUAUCACGGUUGAUGCUAGCGCAAACUGUUACAGAGGAGAGACAAACUUCCAGAGGUUGGAGUUUGGCCUGUCUGGAAACUUCAUAACUAGAAAAUUUGAAUUCUCUUGGUUGGGUUUUUUUUUCCGUCCUUCCUUUCCCUAUCUUCUGUUUUUCCAUCAUCCCUUGAGUCGGGUGCAGCAUAUUUUCUGGAACCGGACGAUCGCGAAGAAGACUUUGAACUUGAACUGUCCCUGCAUUGCACUAAAAAAGAGACUGCGAGCAGGAACUGGCGAGCCAUGCCCAUAUAAGGAUCGAGCUACGAGAAUCAAGAAAGUGGUAGGAUUGUGCAUACGCUUUUCCUUCGUUUUUUUUUCUGACUGAACUGUGUUGCUCAGAACUCAAUUGCGGAAGAAGGAUCUCGUGUAAGCAGCACUGAACUGGAGCUAAAGUUUGGUGAAACCCUAAUCCACAUUGAGACUGUUAUUGUGAGCAGUAAGGUUGAUCUAUUGUAAAUUUCUUUUAAUUUCUACUGAUUUUUUUUUUUACUCUCAAAUUCCACUGUUCUUUAGUUUCAUUUAAUUAAUUGGUUUUAUUUUAUUUAUUUUUUGUUGUUGUUGUUUUUCCGAAGAACGAGAGUGAAAAAGGUAUUUCGAAGUGUCAUUUGGAAGAAUUGUAUUCAUAGUCAAACUCAAAGUUAUUCUCUAUAUUAAAUAAGCCAAUUAAAAAACCAAAUUGAAUAAAUAUGUGAAAAGAAAUUUUAUGCCCAUAUUAGCAGAGUAAGAGUCAGUUAAUUUUAUUAGGUUGAAUCUAAAUAGGUCAAAAGGAGAUAGACAAACAAAUAAUAAAAAGUACUAGAACUAAAUAGACAAUUUAAAUAUAUAAGGGAUUAUAAGAAGAAUACAUUUAUUUAUUUAUUUAUUUUUUUUCAUUCAUUUCAUUCUCCAUUACCCCUUUUUGAUCACUAUUUCCCCUUUUUUUUCUUUUUUUUGUUUGUUUGUUCUGAUGAUGUAUUGAAACUUUGGCUUAUUGUUAUUAUUUUUUUUCCCUCCCAUUAUUGCAUUAUUAACAUUCUCUUUAAUACAUCUUACCUGUUUCUAAUGCAGCCAGUUGUUGUCGUCAUUUCCUUCUACCAUUGUUGCUGACACAGUCUCUUGAGCGAGUCUGAUCUUCUGGUCGCUGGUCCAAAUCUAGAAACGGUGUAUUCCUUCUCUGCUCAUUUCCG